RNAcentral lists this long non-coding RNA (593 nucleotides) under Elaeis guineensis (African oil palm). RNAcentral's name for it is "long non-coding RNA (EGUI_LNC037307)". The record is from RNAcentral. Lineage: Eukaryota; Viridiplantae; Streptophyta; Magnoliopsida; Arecales; Arecaceae.
CUCAAGAUGUGAUACACAGAAUAGACUGGAAAAGAUGAGAAUUCCUCUGGAGGGGAGACAAAUCCUGCUUUGGGGGUCAUUAUUUAGUGAGAUGGAAAAUGUAUGUCGACCAAAAUUUCUGAGGAGGAUGGGAGUCAUAGAUUUGAGAACUUUUAACUAAUGUCUUCUAACCAAAAGAUGGUGGUGCCUUCUCCAAGACCAGUCAAAAAUCUGGAACAAACUUGUGCUGAAGUUGCACUAUCAAAACAACCCUCCAAACAUCAAGGAACCAUGCAACAUCACCUAUGCAUCCCCAGUUUGGAAAAGCGUUCUCAAGGUUCGAAACAUAUUCUGUGAGAGUUGUAUCUUUCAAGUGGGCAAAGGAAAUUAACUUCCUUUUGGAAGGAUCACUAGAUUGGUAAUUCAAACCUCAAAGAGGAAUUUCCAGACUUGUUCCUUUUAUCCACAUCACCUGAUAGCUCAAUGAUAGAAUUUUUUGAUAGAAAAGAUUUAAUAACAAUGUUUAGAACCCCUCUAAUGGCUUUGGUCAACUCAGAUAUGAGCAGCUUAAGAAUCCUCUUCAAACUACUACACCUAAAGAAGGACAAGAUCCA